Molecule: ribosomal RNA, 716 nt
Filed under: Amolops yunkaiensis (Yunkai torrent frog)
Lineage: Eukaryota; Metazoa; Chordata; Amphibia; Anura; Ranidae
Description: partial 12S ribosomal RNA
Rfam family: Bacterial small subunit ribosomal RNA
Source: RNAcentral
ACCUAUACCAGGUAAAGGAGCUGGCAUCAGGCGCAUCCAAUUGCCCACAACGCCUAGUCUUACCACACCCCCAAGGGUAGUCAGCAGUGAUAAAUCUUGUAUAUAAGCGACAGCUUGACUCAGUUAUAGAAAAUAGGGCUGGCCAACCCGGUGCCAGCCGCCGCGGCUAAACCGCUGGAGCCCAAGUUGAUAGUCAUCGGCGUUAAGCGUGAUUAAAGUCCUAAAUAAGUUAGGGUUAAAUUAAUGCCUAGUAGUAAUAAGCUUGUAAUUAAGAAAACCACAAACGAAAGUUACCCUAAUUACUCUUGAAUACACGAUAGCUAGGAACCAAACUGGGAUUAGAUACCCCACUAUGCCUAGCCGUAAACAAUUAACUCACAAUAAUAAACGCCAGGGAACUACGAGCUAUGCUUAAAACCCAAAGGACUUGACGGUGUCCCAUACCAACUAGAGGAGCCUGUUCUAUAAUCGAUGAUCCCCGCUAUACCUAACCAUCCCUUGCUUUAUCAGCCUGUAUACCUCCGUCACAAGCCUACCAUGUGAACGCUCAGUGGGCCCAAUGACCAACAUGUCAGGUCAAGGUGCAGCUCACGAAAUGGUAAGUAAUGGGCUACAAUUUCUAAUCUAGAACAAACGGAAGACUAUGUGAAAUCAUAGCCUGAAGGCGGAUUUAGCAGUAAAAAGAAAAUAGAGUGUUCUUUUUAACCCGGCCCUGG